GCCCUCGUAUGCAUCUGGUGAGGCAGCCUGAUUGUCGAUCAGGUGAGGGGAGUUCGAUCCUCCUCGGGGGCGCCC
This 75-nucleotide transfer RNA is filed under the name Sorangium cellulosum. RNAcentral's name for it is "tRNA-Asp". It matches the Rfam family "tRNA". From Rfam's summary of the family: Transfer RNA (tRNA) molecules are approximately 80 nucleotides in length. Lineage: Bacteria; Pseudomonadati; Myxococcota; Polyangiales; Polyangiaceae. The record is from RNAcentral.